UAAGGAAUAUUGGUCAAUGGAGGCAACUCUGAACCAGCCAUGCCGCGUGCAGGAAGACGGCCCUCUGGGUUGUAAACUGCUUUUAUUCGGGAAUAAACCUACUUACGUGUAAGUAGCUGAAUGUACCGAAGGAAUAAGGAUCGGCUAACUCCGUGCCAGCAGCCGCGGUAAUACGGAGGAUCCAAGCGUUAUCCGGAUUUAUUGGGUUGAAAGGGUGCGUAGGCGGCUUAUUAAGUCAGGGGUGAAAGACGGUGGCUCAACCAUCGCAGUGCCCUUGAUACUGAUGAGCUUGAAUGAGCUAGGGGUAAGCGGAAUGUGACAAGUGGCGGUGAAAUGCAUAGAUAUGUCACAGAACACCGAUUGCGAAGGCAGCUUACUAUGGUUUUAUUGACGCUGAGGCACGAAGGCGUGGGGAUCAAACA
This 422-nucleotide ribosomal RNA is filed under the name uncultured bacterium. Its description in RNAcentral is "bacterial SSU rRNA". It matches the Rfam family "Bacterial small subunit ribosomal RNA", at positions 355 to 774 of the family's 1533-position model. The record is from RNAcentral.